CGUGCGCACGCGCCGAAUCCCGCAAGGGAACCGGGGAACCACCACAUUGGGGUGAAUCGGGCGUAUGCCGCCGUGGGAACACGGUCGGCAGGCACCCGUAGGAGACCUUCCUGCUCCGAACCCGUCAGCUAACCCGGUAGGCGAAAGGAAGGAAAGG
Molecule: non-coding RNA, 157 nt
Organism: Streptomyces coelicolor A3(2)
Lineage: Bacteria; Bacillati; Actinomycetota; Actinomycetes; Kitasatosporales; Streptomycetaceae
Source: Rfam